Molecule: ribosomal RNA, 965 nt
Filed under: Aleurobotrys botryosus
Lineage: Eukaryota; Fungi; Basidiomycota; Agaricomycetes; Russulales; Stereaceae
Description: eukaryotic LSU rRNA
Rfam family: Eukaryotic large subunit ribosomal RNA
Source: RNAcentral
GACCUCAAAUCAGGUGGGACUACCCGCUGAACUUAAGCAUAUCAAUAAGCGGAGGAAAAGAAACUAACAAGGAUUCCCCUAGUAACUGCGAGUGAAGCGGGAAAAGCUCAAAUUUAAAAUCUGGUGGUCUCCGGCCGUCCGAGUUGUAGUCUGGAGAAGCGUUUUCCGCGUUGGACCGUGUACAAGUUUCCUGGAACGGAGCGUCAUAGAGGGUGAGAAUCCCGUCUUUGACACGGACCCCAAUGCUUUGUGAUGCGCUCUCAAAGAGUCGAGUUGUUUGGGAAUGCAGCUCAAAAUGGGUGGUGAAUUCCAUCUAAAGCUAAAUAUUGGCGAGAGACCGAUAGCGAACAAGUACCGUGAGGGAAAGAUGAAAAGCACUUUGGAAAGAGAGUUAAACAGUACGUGAAAUUGUUGAAAGGGAAACGCUUGAAGUCAGUCGCGUCUGCCGGGACUCAGCCUUGCUUCCGCUAGGUGUACUUUCCGGUAGACGGGCCAGCAUCAGUUUUGGCCGCGAGAAAAAGGCGGAGGGAAUGUGGCUCUUUCGGGAGUGUUAUAGCCCUCUGUCACAUGUCGCGGCUGGGACUGAGGACCGCAGCACGCCUUUAUGGCCGGGGUUCGCCCACGUACGUGCUUAGGAUGCUGGCGUAAUGGCUUUAAACGACCCGUCUUGAAACACGGACCAAGGAGUCUAACAUGCCUGCGAGUGUUCGGGUGGAAAACCCGUGCGCGUAAUGAAAGUGAAAGUUGGGAUCCCUGUCGUGGGGUGCACCGACGCCCGGACCAGACCUUUUGUGACGGAUCUGCGGUAGAGCAUGUAUGUUGGGACCCGAAAGAUGGUGAACUAUGCCUGAAUAGGGUGAAGCCAGAGGAAACUCUGGUGGAGGCUCGUAGCGAUUCUGACGUGCAAAUCGAUCGUCAAAUUUGGGUAUAGGGGCGAAAGACUAAUCGAACCAUCUAGUAGCUGG